UCAAUUUUAAUUUGGAAAAAAGUGAUAUUUCUAAGCCGAUUUUCGAACAUCUCUCCAUUCCAAACGAAAGAGCAUACUUUUUUCUAUAUAAUGGCAUAUUCUUUAGAGAUCUUUUCUAAAUAGUUAAAAUUUUAUGAAGAAUAUAGACAAAAUUUGAGUAUCGUUCAAUAGCGAAUUUUCAUGGUUUUUUUAAUUUUAAUUUGGAAAAAUUGAUAUUUCUAAGAUGAUUUUCGAAAAUCUGACCAUUCCAAACGAAAGAGCAUACUUUUAUCUAUAUAAUGGCAUAUUCUUUAGAGAUCUUUUCUAAAUACUUAACAUUUUAUGAAGAAUAUAGACAAAAUUUAGUAUCGUUCGAUAGCGAAUUUUCAUGGUUAUUUCAAUUAUAAUUUGAAAAAAAGUUAUAUUUCUAAGCCGAUUUUCGAAUAUCUCUCCAUUCCAAACGAAAAAGCAUACUUUUUUCUAUAUAAUGGCAUAUUCUUUAGAGAUCUUUUCUAAAUAC
RNAcentral lists this long non-coding RNA (499 nucleotides) under Cinara cedri. The record is from RNAcentral. Lineage: Eukaryota; Metazoa; Arthropoda; Insecta; Hemiptera; Aphididae.